AAAAACAUAACUAUAUGGUGUGCAUAUAUAGCAAUCUCUGCUCAAUGAUAAGUUAAAUAGCCGCAGUAAUUUGACUGUGCAAAGGUAGCAUAAUCAAUUGGCUUAUAAUUGAAGCCUAGUAUGAAAGGGAACAUGGGGGUUUUCUGUAUCCUGGAUGUAUUAUAAAAUUACUAAUUGGGUGAAAAUUCCCAUAGAGAAAUAAUAGACGAGAAGACCCUAGAAAUUUUGAGGACAUAUAUAAAUAGUGGGUUUUUGUUGGGGCGACAUAGUAGCAUGUAACCUACUUUACUACAUAUGAUUAAAUUGUUAAGAUAAAAUAAAUUACUCUAGGGAUAACAGCAUAAUAUUUAAAAGUUUGUGACCUCGAUGUUGGACUAGGGAAAAAUAGCCCAGAAGGUUAAUUUAUAUGCUCUGUUCGAGCAGCAUCCCCUACGUGAUCUGA
RNAcentral lists this ribosomal RNA (442 nucleotides) under Cathaica gansuica. Its description in RNAcentral is "partial large subunit ribosomal RNA". It matches the Rfam family "Archaeal large subunit ribosomal RNA", at positions 1901 to 2677 of the family's 2987-position model. The record is from RNAcentral. Lineage: Eukaryota; Metazoa; Mollusca; Gastropoda; Stylommatophora; Camaenidae.